UACGAAGGGGGCUAGCGUUGUUCGGAAUCACUGGGCGUAAAGGGCGCGUAGGCGGCCGAUCAAGUCGGGGGUGAAAGCCUGUGGCUCAACCACAGAAUUGCCUUCGAUACUGCUUGGCUUGAGACCGGAAGAGGUUAGUGGAACUGCGAGUGUAGAGGUGAAAUUCGUAGAUAUUCGCAAGAACACCAGUGGCGAAGGCGGCUGACUGGUCCGGUUCUGACGCUGAGGCGCGAAAGCGUGGGGAGCAAACAGG
This 253-nucleotide ribosomal RNA is filed under the name uncultured bacterium. RNAcentral's name for it is "partial 16S ribosomal RNA". It matches the Rfam family "Bacterial small subunit ribosomal RNA", at positions 524 to 776 of the family's 1533-position model. The record is from RNAcentral.